RNAcentral lists this ribosomal RNA (467 nucleotides) under uncultured bacterium. Its description in RNAcentral is "partial 16S ribosomal RNA". It matches the Rfam family "Bacterial small subunit ribosomal RNA", at positions 28 to 506 of the family's 1533-position model. The record is from RNAcentral.
GACGAACGCUGGCGGUGUGCUUAACACAUGCAAGUCGAACGGUAAGGCCCUUUCGGGGGUACACGAGUGGCGAACGGGUGAGUAACACGUGAGUAACCUGCCCUCAUCUCUGGGAUAACAGUCGGAAACGGUUGCUAAUACUGGAUAUGAGCUUGCAAGGCAUCUUGUGGGUUGGAAAGAUUUUUUUUGGUUGGGGAUGGACUCGCGGCCUAUCAGCUUGUUGGUGAGGUAGUGGCUCACCAAGGCUUCGACGGGUAGCCGGCCUGAGAGGGCGACCGGCCACAUUGGGACUGAGAUACGGCCCAAACGCCUACGGGGGGCAGCAGGGGGGAAUAUUGCACAAUGGACGGAAGUCUGAUGCAGCAACGCCGCGUGCGGGAUGACGGCCUUCGGGUUGGAAACCGCUUUCAAUUGUGACGAAGCUUUUUUGUGACGGUAGCAGUAGAAGAAGCACCGGCUAACUACGU